This 496-nucleotide ribosomal RNA is filed under the name uncultured bacterium. RNAcentral describes it as "partial 16S ribosomal RNA". It matches the Rfam family "Bacterial small subunit ribosomal RNA", at positions 29 to 507 of the family's 1533-position model. The record is from RNAcentral.
AUGAACGCUGGCGGCGUGCCUAAUACAUGCAAGUCGCGCGAACAGACGAGGAGCUUGCUCCUCUGACGUUAGCGGCGGACGGGUGAGUAACACGUGGAUAACCUACCUAUAAGACUGGGAUAACUUCGGGAAACCGGAGCUAAUACCGGAUAAUAUAUUGAACCGCAUGGUUCAAUAGUGAAAGACGGUUUUGCUGUCACUUAUAGAUGGAUCCGCGCCGCAUUAGCUAGUUGGUAAGGUAACGGCUUACCAAGGCAACGAUGCGUAGCCGACCUGAGAGGGUGAUCGGCCACCCUGGAACUGAGACACGGUCCAGACUCCUACGGGAGGCAGCAGUAGGGAAUCUUCCGCAAUGGGCGAAAGCCUGACGGAGCAACGCCGCGUGAGUGAUGAAGGUCUUCGGAUCGUAAAACUCUGUUAUUAGGGAAGAACAAAUGUGUAAGUAACUAUGCACGUCUUGACGGUACCUAAUCAGAAAGCCACGGCUAACUACGUG